This 217-nucleotide unclassified non-coding RNA is filed under the name Hevea brasiliensis (rubber tree). The record is from RNAcentral. Lineage: Eukaryota; Viridiplantae; Streptophyta; Magnoliopsida; Malpighiales; Euphorbiaceae.
GGAUCACAUGAGAAUGAGGGUAUCAGAGCUCGAAAAGGAGUGCUCGAGCAUGAGGCAGGAGAUCGAUAAGUUGGGCCGUGGGAAAAACAGUAAGAAGUUCGGUUUCGGUUCCAAAGUGAAAUCGCAGAUGUGUAGUGCGCAAGAGAAUUCGGUGAGCGGGAAAGAGAAGGAUAUGAGUGCCAAGUUGGAGAAGAUGCAAGUGAAGCUCACUAAACAC